GUUGGCCAACAAUUUUAAUUGGCAAGGGAGAGGACAGAAGAGCCCAUUUUCUACACUUUUGCUAGCAAAAGUUGUCAUAGAUGCAGCCAAAAGACAAGGGGCAAAAGUGGUGGAAGCAGAG
Pimephales promelas (fathead minnow) is the source of this 121-nucleotide non-coding RNA. The record is from RefSeq and is a predicted model, not a curated record. NCBI's taxonomy places the organism in Eukaryota, Metazoa, Chordata, Actinopteri, Cypriniformes, Leuciscidae.